Picea glauca (white spruce) is the source of this 124-nucleotide non-coding RNA. The record is from Rfam. NCBI's taxonomy places the organism in Eukaryota, Viridiplantae, Streptophyta, Pinopsida, Pinales, Pinaceae.
UCUUAUGUACAUGCCUACAUUGUUAAUGCAUCAAAUCCCUUCAGAACUCCAUAGUUAAGUGCUCUUGGGCUAGAGUAGUACUAGGAUGGGUGACCUCCUAGGAAUUCCUAGUGUUUCACAUGCC